UACGUAGGUGGCAAGCGUUGUCCGGAUUUACUGGGCGUAAAGAGCGCGCAGGCGGUCGUUCAAGUCGCGUGUGAAAGCCCCCGGCUCAACUGGGGAGGGUCACGCGAUACUGCUCGACUCGAAGGCAGGAGAGGGAAGUGGAAUUCCCGGUGUAGUGGUGAAAUGCGUAGAUAUCGGGAGGAACACCAGUGGCGAAGGCGACUUCCUGGCCUGUUCUUGACGCUGAGGCGCGAAAGCUAGGGUAGCAAACAGG
Molecule: ribosomal RNA, 253 nt
Filed under: uncultured bacterium
Lineage: Bacteria
Description: partial 16S ribosomal RNA
Rfam family: Bacterial small subunit ribosomal RNA
Source: RNAcentral